This 621-nucleotide long non-coding RNA is filed under the name Coffea arabica (coffee). Its description in RNAcentral is "long non-coding RNA (CARA_LNC001818)". Lineage: Eukaryota; Viridiplantae; Streptophyta; Magnoliopsida; Gentianales; Rubiaceae. The record is from RNAcentral.
ACAAGCUCAUAUUUACUACUUUCAAACAAAAAAUACACACACUCAAACACACAAAAAGAAAUUUCGCUUGAUGGAGAACAGUAAAGGAAAGCGUGAAUCUGUAGAAGGAGAUUCCAGCAAUGGAACUUGGGCAGGUUCCUUUAAGAAAAAUGGAAGCGUGAUUCCAAAAAAAGGAAAGCCUGUACUCCAUAUGGCGGUAGAGAAAUUUGUGAAAGGUGCUGUUUCCGCUUGUCAGAAGAACAAGGACAAGAAUAAGGUCAAUCCUUAUGGUGGUUCCAAUGCUUGAUAUGGUUACACAGGGUGCAAGGUUACUUUGCCAAAGUUUUCUUAUCUAGAAAACUUGACAAAGUUGAAUUCUGCCAAAUUUGAAUUGACACAUCCAAUUUUGGCAGAAUUUAAGUGAGUCUAGUUUUCUAGUAUAAUUUAAUUUCGGUAUAAUCUAUGCACUAUAAUAUGUUGUUGUUUGAAGUUUCUCAUUCCCUUGUAUCGUGUGAUUUUUCUUUUUCUCUUUUCCCGUAUGUUGAAAGCCAUUCCAUUGUAUUGCUAGAAUUGAACUUUUCAUUUGAGUGACCAAUUAUUUAGGUAAGUACAAUAUGUCGCAUCUUUGUGGGUCCUGUAUUU